UUAUUCAGUAAAAAAUAAUUAUAAAUUAAAUAUUAUUAAUUAAUAAAAAUUCAGUUAUUUCGGUUAGUUUGCAAACCAAAUAAAGUGCAACCGAACCGAUGACUGAAAACUGAAAAUUUUAGGAAUUACUAACUGAUAGCCAAACCCAAUCAAACAUACUCCUGCCAAAAUAACUAAAUUUCAUUGGUUUGGUUCGGUUAUUUGUCUAUAAUUGGAUAAUGCAUACUCCUACUAGAGUCAUGGCUUGUGUUCAAUACCUUAACAAAAAUAAAUGGAAAACUGCUUAUCUUCUUCUAGUUGUUCUCUUGGAAGCACAAAUUAUUCUUUCAUAGUUUUUCUUCAGUUCAUUGGUGAAAUUUCUUAAAUUAUUUUGCUUGUCAUGUUCUGUAUUGGAAAUUUCCUUACUGUUGAUGGUAUGGACUGUAUAAAAAACUGUCAAAUUGUGUUGUUUUCAAGACUACUAUAGCUAGUCAUUCCCGUUGUUCUCUCACAGUUCAUUUAUUCUCUUGCAUUUAUAUGUUUGCUUAUGCAGUUGCACUA
Molecule: unclassified non-coding RNA, 540 nt
Filed under: Hevea brasiliensis (rubber tree)
Lineage: Eukaryota; Viridiplantae; Streptophyta; Magnoliopsida; Malpighiales; Euphorbiaceae
Source: RNAcentral